This 403-nucleotide ribosomal RNA is filed under the name bacterium. RNAcentral's name for it is "partial 16S ribosomal RNA". It matches the Rfam family "Bacterial small subunit ribosomal RNA", at positions 355 to 776 of the family's 1533-position model. The record is from RNAcentral.
UGGGGAAUAUUGCACAAUGGGGGAAACCCUGAUGCAGCGACGCCGCGUGAACGAAGAAGGUAUUCGUAUCGUAAAGUUCUGUCCUAUGGGAAGAUAAUGACAGUACCAUAGAAGAAAGCUCCGGCUAAAUACGUUCCAGCAGCCGCGGUAAUACGUAUGGAGCGAGCGUUGUCCGGAAUUAUUGGGCGUAAAGGGUACGCAGGCGGUUUAAUAAGUCGAAUGUUAAAGAUCGGGGCUCAACCCCGUCAAGCAUUGGAAACUGAUAAACUUGAGUACUGGCGAGGCAAGUGGAAUUCCUAGUGUAGUGGUGAAAUACGUAGAUAUUAGGAGGAAUACCAGUAGCGAAGGCGACUUUCUGGACACAAACUGACGCUGAGGUACGAAAGCGUGGGGAGCAAACAGG